RNAcentral lists this ribosomal RNA (219 nucleotides) under Escherichia coli O145:NM str. 2010C-3507. Its description in RNAcentral is "partial 23S ribosomal RNA". It matches the Rfam family "Bacterial large subunit ribosomal RNA", at positions 2729 to 2925 of the family's 2925-position model. Lineage: Bacteria; Pseudomonadati; Pseudomonadota; Gammaproteobacteria; Enterobacterales; Enterobacteriaceae. The record is from RNAcentral.
CCAAUGGCACUGCCCGGUAGCUAAAUGCGGAAGAGAUAAGUGCUGAAAGCAUCUAAGCACGAAACUUGCCCCGAGAUGAGUUCUCCCUGACCCUUUAAGGGUCCUGAAGGAACGUUGAAGACGACGACGUUGAUAGGCCGGGUGUGUAAGCGCAGCGAUGCGUUGAGCUAACCGGUACUAAUGAACCGUGAGGCUUAACCUUACAACGCCGAAGCUGUU